UACGUAGGGUGCAAGCGUUGUCCGGAAUUAUUGGGCGUAAAGAGCUCGUAGGCGGUCUGUUACGUCCGCUGUGAAAACCCAGGGCUUAACCCUGGGCUUGCAGUGGAUACGGGUAGACUAGAGGCAGGUAGGGGAGAAUGGAAUUCCCGGUGUAGCGGUGAAAUGCGCAGAUAUCGGGAGGAACACCGGUGGCGAAGGCGGCUCUCUGGGACGGUACUGACGCUGAGACGCGAAAGCGUGGGGAGCGAACAGG
Molecule: ribosomal RNA, 253 nt
Filed under: uncultured bacterium
Lineage: Bacteria
Description: partial 16S ribosomal RNA
Rfam family: Bacterial small subunit ribosomal RNA
Source: RNAcentral